This 1473-nucleotide ribosomal RNA is filed under the name Triticum aestivum (bread wheat). RNAcentral's name for it is "partial small subunit ribosomal RNA". The record is from RNAcentral. Lineage: Eukaryota; Viridiplantae; Streptophyta; Magnoliopsida; Poales; Poaceae.
AUGGAGGUUGCCAUAUCUGCAGUUGCAGGUGAAAUUGUGAGUCGGUUCAUCUCCUUCCUGAUGAACAAGUACCACUCCUCCAGCCAUGCACAGCCAGAGGAGAAGGUGGUAGAGAGGCUGCAGCAUCUCCUGAUGAGAGCUGGCGCCAUUGUCGAGGAGGCGGACGCUCGAUACAUAACAAACUCUGGGAUGAUGAUGCAGCUCAAGAUGCUCUCGGAGGCCAUGUACCGAGGUCACAGCCUGCUCGAUGCCUCGAGGUACCGAGCCCUCCAAGACAGCGCAGGCUUCGACAAGGUUAGCAGCAACGACCCAUCUAGCAGCAGUUUGUAUUUUGCCAUUCCCCUCAAGCGUUCUAGAACAGCUACGGAGAAAGACGACAAGGCCAUGCGCCUCGGGUCACAUGGUGCCUUGGAAAAUUUAGAAAUUGCUGUUGCUAACAUGGCUGAGUUUGUUGUGCUUCUGGGUGGAUGUGAGCGCAUGUCUCGAAGGCCAUAUGAUGUUUAUCUUUACACCGACAACUUCAUGUUCAGCCGACACGCUGAAAAGCAAAAGCUCUUGAGCUUCUUGUUGGAGCAAAACGACCCUCCUGGUGAUCACGCACCGGCAGUUAUUCCGGUGAUAGGUGGUGUCGCAGUUAGGAAGAAAACUUUGGUUGCUCAUGUGUGUGGUGACGAAAGGGUUCGCUCACGCUUCUCCUCUAUUUUGCACUUGAACGGAGACAGCCAUUUGAAGAUGCUUGACGAUGGAAGGACCAUGUUUGGGAGCACAACGCUGGUAAUUAUUGAGUUUGCUUCUGAUGUAGGCGACGAAGACUCGAAAAACUUUCAGCCGUUUUUCAGAAGGAUGGGCAGAGGAAGCAAGAUCAUCAUCGUAAGUAAACUUAAAAGAUUAGCGCGGUUUGGAUCGGUGAAGCCAAUUUUCCUUAGCGCUCUAUCUUACCAUGAGUUGAGGUACCUUUUCAAGACACUAGCAUUUGGAAGUGCAGACCCGGCAGAACAUCCACGGCUAGUACAAAUAGCAGAUGAAAUCGCCAAGGUGCUGCACAGUGUGCAAGGUUCACUUGUGGAAGCAAAUGUGUUUGCGGAUGUGCUGAGAAGGAACCUCGAUGUUCAGUUCUGGUGUUGCAUACUGAACAAGGGGAUCAGACUGGUUAAAAGAAACCUGUCCAUAUACGGAGUGCACCCAACCCUGCUUAUAGAGCAAGGCCAGCCAGUGGACAUAACGGACCUCGCCUCGCAUCCACUUUGCAUGAUACCGCACAAAAUCAAGGAGGAAUCGCCAAGCGUGUCGUUAGGGGCACUUGUAGCAGACCCUAGCAUCAGACCGGAAGGAGACUUCAGCCUGGUAGCAUGGGAAUCAAGGAUACCCCCUCAUAAAUCAUUUGUUCAUUAUGUCACAAGUCGUGCUCAGGAUACACAUGAAGGUAGCAGCACCUCUUCGGGGAGGAGGAAGCGCCGAGGCGUGCCAUUCUAA